RNAcentral lists this long non-coding RNA (1184 nucleotides) under Equus caballus (horse). Its description in RNAcentral is "lncRNA (ENSECAG00000054684.1)". Lineage: Eukaryota; Metazoa; Chordata; Mammalia; Perissodactyla; Equidae. The record is from RNAcentral.
AAUAAGCACUUGCAUAACAAUGAGAUACCACUACACAGUUAUUGGAAUGGCCAAAAUGCAAAACAUGAACAACACCAAGUGCUGCUGAAGACAUGAAGCAAGAGGAACUCUCAUUCAUUUCUGGUGGAAAUGUAAAAUAAUACAGCCACUUUGAAAGAGAGUUUGGCAGUUCUUUACAAAACUAAACAUAUUUCUAACUAUACAAUCCAGCAAUCACACUCCUUGGUAUUUACCCAAACUAGUUGAAAACUCAGGUCCACACAAAAAUUUGCACACAGACGUUUAUAGAAGCUUUAUUUAUAAUGGCCAAAAUUUGCAAGCAACAGUGAUGUCCUUAGUGAAGGGAGAAACAAACUGUGGUCCAUCCAGACAAUGGAAUAUCAUGCAGUACUAAAAAGAAAUGAGCUAUUAAGCCAUGAAAAGACACAGAAGAAACUUAAAUGCAUAUUACUAAGUGAAAGAAGACAAUCUGAAAAGGAAACAUACUGUAUGGUUUCAACAAAAUGACAUUUUGGAAAAGGCUUAAGGUACUGAUUCUCUUCAAGCUGAAUGCCAUGGUUUGCCCCAUGGAGUAGCCAUAGGCAGCAAAUGUGGAUUCAUACAGAUGUCCGAGAAAGUUCCUGAUGAAGAAGUGAAUUUAGAUCCAUCCUGAAAAAGAGAAAGGCACAAGGAAGAAAAGGGCACUUACUAGAACUUCAGCUCACAAGCUGAUGAAGCAAGACCCCUGUACGGGCCACCAGAAGAAACGAUGCAGGCUCGGUAAGUCAAGGAGUCAAAAGAAAGGUUUCUUGGACUCUCACGGUCUGGCAGUAGUGCUCUUUUAUUCAGAGAAUAGCGUGGAGUAGCAUGGGGACAGGACCCAUGGGCAGUGAAGAGCUGCAAUGUGUUGAGGGUUACCGCUAAAUUUAUAAGGCAUAGGUAUGUGAGUUAUUUCUUUACAAGACAAAGGAAAGAUCAUGAAAAAUAUCAUUGUUAAAAUGGUGUCAGUGCAGGUGGGGUCUGGUUAUUGGGUGUUCCUAUAACUUUAGAUAAGAAUCAGAUCAGAUUAAGUCAGGAUGUUCUAUGCUUCCUGGAGGAUGAUAUAGAUCAGUAUGUAGGGCAGGACACCUUGGACUGCUCUCCCUGGGGCAGCCUUAAUCGUCAUCAGGAGAACAAAUUAAAUUCACAUGAGACAGACUAACAGG